Molecule: ribosomal RNA, 347 nt
Filed under: uncultured soil bacterium
Lineage: Bacteria
Description: bacterial SSU rRNA
Rfam family: Bacterial small subunit ribosomal RNA
Source: RNAcentral
AGAUUGAACGCUGGCGGCAGGCCUAACACAUGCAAGUCGAGCGGCAGCACGGGUACUUGUACCUGGUGGCGAGCGGCGGACGGGUGAGUAAUGCCUAGGAAUCUGCCUGGUAGUGGGGGAUAACGCUCGGAAACGGACGCUAAUACCGCAUACGUCCUACGGGAGAAAGCAGGGGACCUUCGGGCCUUGCGCUAUCAGAUGAGCCUAGGUCGGAUUAGCUAGUUGGUGAGGUAAUGGCUCACCAAGGCGACGAUCCGUAACUGGUCUGAGAGGAUGAUCAGUCACACUGGAACUGAGACACGGUCCAGACUCUACGGGAGCAGCAGUGGGGAAUAUUGGACAAUGGG